UACGUAGGGUGCAAGCGUUGUCCGGAAUUAUUGGGCGUAAAGAGCUCGUAGGCGGUCUGUCGCGUCUGCUGUGAAAACUCGGGGCUUAACCCCGGGUCUGCAGUGGGUACGGGCAGACUAGAGUGCGGUAGGGGAGACUGGAAUUCCUGGUGUAGCGGUGAAAUGCGCAGAUAUCAGGAGGAACACCGGUGGCGAAGGCGGGUCUCUGGGCCGUAACUGACGCUGAGGAGCGAAAGCGUGGGGAGCGAACAGG
RNAcentral lists this ribosomal RNA (253 nucleotides) under uncultured bacterium. RNAcentral describes it as "partial 16S ribosomal RNA". It matches the Rfam family "Bacterial small subunit ribosomal RNA", at positions 524 to 776 of the family's 1533-position model. The record is from RNAcentral.